UACGGAGGAUGCAAGCGUUAUCCGGAUUCAUUGGGUUUAAAGGGUGCGUAGGCGGAAUAUUAAGUCAGUGGUGAAAUCCUGCAGCUUAACUGUAGAACUGUCAUUGAUACUGGUAUUCUUGAAUGCAGUUGAGGUAGGCGGAAUGUGUAAUGUAGCGGUGAAAUGCUUAGAUAUUACACAGAACACCGAUUGCGAAGGCAGCUUACUAAACUGUGAUUGACGCUGAGGCACGAAAGCGUGGGGAGCAAACAGGAUUAGAUACCCUGGUAGUCCACGCCGUAAACUAUGAUCACUCGCUGUUGGCGAUAAAUUGUCAGCGGCUGAGCGAAAGCAUUAAGUGAUCCACCUGGGGAGUACGAUCGCAAGGUUGAA
Molecule: ribosomal RNA, 372 nt
Filed under: uncultured bacterium
Lineage: Bacteria
Description: bacterial SSU rRNA
Rfam family: Bacterial small subunit ribosomal RNA
Source: RNAcentral